Molecule: ribosomal RNA, 523 nt
Filed under: uncultured bacterium
Lineage: Bacteria
Description: bacterial SSU rRNA
Rfam family: Bacterial small subunit ribosomal RNA
Source: RNAcentral
AGAGUUUGAUCCUGGCUCAGGAUGAACGCUGGCGGUCUGCUUAACACAUGCAAGUCGAACGGGCUCUUCGGAGCUAGUGGCGGACGGGUGAGUAACGCGUGAGAAUCUGCCCUCAGGUACGGGGACAACAGCUGGAAACGGCUGCUAAUACCCGAUGUGCCGAGAGGUGAAAGGAUUUAUCGCCUGAGGAUGAGCUCGCGUCUGAUUAGCUAGUUGGUAGGGUAAGAGCCUACCAAGGCGACGAUCAGUAGCUGGUCUGAGAGGAUGAUCAGCCACACUGGGACUGAGACACGGCCCAGACUCCUACGGGAGGCAGCAGUGGGGAAUUUUCCGCAAUGGGCGCAAGCCUGACGGAGCAAGACCGCGUGCGGGAUGAGGGUCUGUGGACUGUAAACCGCUUUUGAUAGGGAAGAAGACAGUGACGGUACCUAUCGAAUCAGCCUCGGCUAACUCCGUGCCAGCAGCCGCGGUAAUACGGAGGAGGCAAGCGUUAUCCGGAAUUAUUGGGCGUAAAGCGUCCGUA